CCCUUAGAUGUCCUGGGCCGCACGCGCGCUACACUGAACGGAUCAGCGCGUUUUCCCUUCCCGAGAGGGACGGGUAACCUGCUGAACCCCGUUCGUGGUAGGGAUCGGGGCUUGCAAUUAUUCCCCGUGAACCAGGAAUGCCCAGUAAGUGCAAGUCAUAAGCUUGCGUUGAUUACGUCCCUGCCCUUUGUACACACCGCCCGUCGCACCUACCGAUUGAAUGGUCCGGUGAAUCUUUAGGACUGUGGCUGAGGCCUUGCCUUGUGCGGGUCUGGCCGUGGGAAUUUAGUUAAACCUUACCAUUUAGAGGAAGGUGAAGUCGUAACA
This 327-nucleotide ribosomal RNA is filed under the name uncultured eukaryote. RNAcentral's name for it is "partial 18S ribosomal RNA". It matches the Rfam family "Eukaryotic small subunit ribosomal RNA", at positions 1470 to 1796 of the family's 1831-position model. The record is from RNAcentral.